This 71-nucleotide transfer RNA is filed under the name Loxodonta africana (African savanna elephant). It matches the Rfam family "tRNA". Rfam says of the family: Transfer RNA (tRNA) molecules are approximately 80 nucleotides in length. The record is from Rfam by way of RNAcentral. Lineage: Eukaryota; Metazoa; Chordata; Mammalia; Proboscidea; Elephantidae.
GACUUGGUGGUUCAUUGGUAGAAAUCUUGCUUUCCAUGCAAGAGACCUGGGUUUAAUUCCCAGCCAAUGCA